RNAcentral lists this ribosomal RNA (764 nucleotides) under Inocybe kapila. Its description in RNAcentral is "LSU rRNA". It matches the Rfam family "Eukaryotic large subunit ribosomal RNA", at positions 160 to 906 of the family's 3401-position model. Lineage: Eukaryota; Fungi; Basidiomycota; Agaricomycetes; Agaricales; Inocybaceae. The record is from RNAcentral.
GUUGCCUGUGCUGGACCAUGUACAAGUCUUCUGGAAUGGAGCAUCAUAGAGGGUGAGAAUCCCGUCUUUGACAUGGACUGCCUGUACGUUGUGGUACGCUCUCAAAGAGUCGAGUUGUUUGGGAAUGCAGCUCAAAAUGGGUGGUAAAUGCCAUCUAAAGCUAAAUAUUGGCGAGAGACCGAUAGCGAACAAGUACCGUGAGGGAAAGAUGAAAAGAACUUUGGAAAGAGAGUUAAACAGUACGUGAAAUUGCUGAAAGGGAAACGCUUGAAGUCAGUCGCGUCGGCUAGAAAUCAGCCUUGCUUUUGUGUGGCGUACUUUCUGGUUGACGGGUCAGCAUCAAUUUUGACCAUUGGAUAAAGUCUUUGGGAAUGUGGCAUCCUUUUUGGAUGUGUUAUACCCCAUUGUCGCAUGCGGUGGUUGGGAUUGAGGAACUCAGCACGCCUCGCAGGGGGCCAGGUUUCGACCAUGUUCGUGCUUAGGAUGCUGGCAUAAUGGCUUUAAUCGACCCGUCUUGAAACACGGACCAAGGAGUCUAACAUGCCUGCGAGUGUGUGGGUGGAAAACCCAUGCGCGCAAUGAAAGUGAAAGUUGAGAUCUCUGUAAAAGGAUAGCAUCCACGCCCGGACCAUACCUUCUGUGACGGAUCCGCGGUAUAGCAUGCGUGUUGGGACCCGAGAGAUGGUGAACUAUGCCUGAAUAGGGUGAAGCCAGAGGAAACUCUGGUGGAGGCUCGUAUCGAUUCUGACGUGCAAUCGAUCGUC